RNAcentral lists this ribosomal RNA (480 nucleotides) under uncultured bacterium. RNAcentral's name for it is "partial 16S ribosomal RNA". It matches the Rfam family "Bacterial small subunit ribosomal RNA", at positions 30 to 506 of the family's 1533-position model. The record is from RNAcentral.
AUUGAACGCUGGCGGCAUGCUUUACACAUGCAAGUCGAACGGUAACAGCACUUCGGUGGCUGACGAGUGGCGAACGGUUGCGUAAUACAUCGGAACGUGCCUAGUAGUGGGGAUAACUACUCGAAAGAGUAGCUAAUACCGCAUGAGAUCUAAGGAUGAACGCAGGGGACCUUCGGGCCUUGCGCUACUAGAGCGGCUGAUGGCAGAUUAGGUAGUUGGUGGGAUAAAAGCUUACCAAGCCGACGAUCUGUAGCUGGUCUUAGAGGACGACCAGCCACACUGAGACUGAGACACGGCCCAGACUCCUACGGGAGGCAGCAGUGGGGAAUUUUGGACAAUGGGCGCAAGCCUGAUCCAGCAAUGCCGCGUGCAGGAGGAAGGCCUUCGGGUUGUAAACUGCUUUUGUACGGAACGAAAAGACCUCUUCUAAUACAGGAGGGUCAGGACGGUACCGUAAGAAUAAGCACCGGCUAACUACGU